UACGUAGGGUGCAAGCGUUGUCCGGAAUUAUUGGGCGUAAAGCGCUCGUAGGCGGUCUGUCGCGUCGGCUGUGAAAACUCGGGGCUCAACUCCGAGCUUGCAGUCGAUACGGGCAGGCUAGAGUUCGGCAGGGGAGACUGGAAUUCCUGGUGUAGCGGUGAAAUGCGCAGAUAUCAGGAGGAACACCGGUGGCGAAGGCGGGUCUCUGGGCCGAUACUGACGCUGAGGAGCGAAAGCGUGGGGAGCAAACAGG
This 253-nucleotide ribosomal RNA is filed under the name uncultured bacterium. Its description in RNAcentral is "partial 16S ribosomal RNA". It matches the Rfam family "Bacterial small subunit ribosomal RNA", at positions 524 to 776 of the family's 1533-position model. The record is from RNAcentral.